CGGGUCCUUUGGGCCCAACCUCCCAUCCGUGUCUAUUGUACCCUGUUGCUUCGGCGGGCCCGCCGCUUGUCGGCCGCCGGGGGGGCGCCUCUGCCCCCCGGGCCCGUGCCCGCCGGAGACCCCAACACGAACACUGUCUGAAAGCGUGCAGUCUGAGUUGAUUGAAUGCAAUCAGUUAAAACUUUCAACAAUGGAUCUCUUGGUUCCGGCAUCGAUGAAGAACGCAGCGAAAUGCGAUAACUAAUGUGAAUUGCAGAAUUCAGUGAAUCAUCGAGUCUUUGAACGCACAUUGCGCCCCCUGGUAUUCCGGGGGGCAUGCCUGUCCGAGCGUCAUUGCUGCCCUCAAGCCCGGCUUGUGUGUUGGGUCGCCGUCCCCCUCUCCGGGGGGACGGGCCCGAAAGGCAGCGGCGGCACCGCGUCCGAUCCUCGAGCGUAUGGGGCUUUGUCACAUGCUCUGUAGGAUUGGCCGGCGCCUGCCGACGUUUUCCAACCAUUCUUUCCAGGUUGACCUCGGAUCAGGUAGGGAUACCCGCUGAACUUAAGCAUAUCAAUAAGCGGAGGAAAAGAAACCAACCGGGAUUGCCUCAGUAACGGCGAGUGAAGCGGCAAGAGCUCAAAUUUGAAAGCUGGCUCCUUCGGAGUCCGCAUUGUAAUUUGCAGAGGAUGCUUUGGGUGCGGCCCCCGUCUAAGUGCCCUGGAACGGGCCGUCAGAGAGGGUGAGAAUCCCGUCUUGGGCGGGGUGUCCGUGCCCGUGUAAAGCUCCUUCGACGAGUCGAGUUGUUUGGGAAUGCAGCUCUAAAUGGGUGGUAAAUUUCAUCUAAAGCUAAAUACUGGCCGGAGACCGAUAGCGCACAAGUAGAGUGAUCGAAAGAUGAAAAGCACUUUGAAAAGAGAGUUAAACAGCACGUGAAAUUGUUGAAAGGGAAGCGCUUGCGACCAGACUCGCCCGCGGGGUUCAGCCGGCAUUCGUGCCGGUGUACUUCCCCGUGGGCGGGCCAGCGUCGGUUUGGGCGGCCGGUCAAAGGCCCCUGGAAUGUAGUGCCCUCCGGGGCACCUUAUAGCCAGGGGUGCAAUGCGGCCAGCC
Molecule: ribosomal RNA, 1084 nt
Filed under: fungal endophyte
Lineage: Eukaryota; Fungi
Description: eukaryotic LSU rRNA
Rfam family: Eukaryotic large subunit ribosomal RNA (bases 506-1084)
Source: RNAcentral